This 196-nucleotide small nuclear RNA is filed under the name Leersia perrieri. Its description in RNAcentral is "snRNA U2". It matches the Rfam family "U2 spliceosomal RNA". From Rfam's summary of the family: U2 is a small nuclear RNA (snRNA) component of the spliceosome (involved in pre-mRNA splicing). Complementary binding between U2 snRNA (in an area lying towards the 5' end but 3' to hairpin I) and the branchpoint sequence (BPS) of the intron results the bulging out of an unpaired adenosine, on the BPS, which initiates a nucleophilic attack at the intronic 5' splice site, thus starting the first of two transesterification reactions that mediate splicing. Lineage: Eukaryota; Viridiplantae; Streptophyta; Magnoliopsida; Poales; Poaceae. The record is from Rfam by way of RNAcentral.
AUACCUUUCUCGGCCUUUUGGCUAAGAUCAAGUGUAGUAUCUGUUCUUAUCAGUUUAAUAUCUGAUAGGUGGAUCAUGUGUCCACUGUGAUAUUAAAUUUAUUUUUUAUGGGGAGGGCCCACCACAGUGGCUUGCCACUGGGGCCUUCAAGUGUAGCCCAGGCCUUGCACUGCCGCUUGGGCCUGGCGCACCCCAA